CGGUUCCGCACUAACGCCCAAUCCUCUCUCUGCUACCAUCAGCCCACCAUCGUCAAUCAAGUCCCCUCCCUCUGCUCUUCCUCCUUCGAGGAGAUCGAAAACUAGUCCAAAUCAAUUCAUGGGUUUUGCAUGACCAAUCCUCCAUAACCCGAAAGAUCUCUCGUUUCAAUUGAUUCAAUUCGAUUGUCGAAAUGGCAACAGCUCCAGAGCAGCCCCAUGAGGUCCUCCCCUGGCUGAGAGCUCUCCCAGUAGCUCCGGAGUACCACCCAACCUGGGCCGAGUUCCAAGAUCCGAUUGCCUACAUUUUCAAGAUCGAGAAAGAAGCUUCCCAGUAUGGCAUCUGCAAAAUCGUGCCACCUGUCCCUCCGGCGCCGAAGAAGACCGCAAUUGCUAACCCCAAAUCCCGAUUCGAAGGUUAUAUUUUUAAUCUCCAUAUCUGUUACUGUUAUUUGAGAUGCUCUUUUGUUUGAAAAAUACCGAUUCUAGUUUAUACUGGUUAAUGCUUGAACUUGUUGCAGGGAACUGCUUGCGACUUCGAUAAGACAAGCAACAGACGCAAAGUGACUCAGAUUAUCGUCUCAGGUCUCACAAGAUAUUGUUGGCAAUGUGGAGGUGACAAUAUCACUUUGGAGUUGGUUUUGUGUGUGCAUUAUCUACCAUUGGGAUAUCACACUUGUCAGCAUUAAGGGCAAUGGGGGUUUUAAAAGUCUUGAGCUUGGUCUGUUUAACUGUAGCACUGGUCCUAUCACUUAUAUUUGGAGAUUGAAUUCCUUGAAGCUCUAGAACUCCAUGGUCAGGCAUGGCAAAAGAUAUGCAUGGCAUUGGCAUUCCAAGUCCAGCAUAUACUUCUGCAUUUUGGUCUAAACUCACUUCUCUAAGUAUGGCUACUGAAAGAGUUCUUAUUGCAACCAAUACAUUAGUAAUCCAAGAUGAAGUCUUUUCCCAUAGAUUGGGUCUCAUUCCAAUCAAGGCUGACUCGAGAUUGUUUGAAUUUACAGAACACUCGGAGGAUUUUGGGCCUUCGAAUCACUGAGCUUCCCUCCCUAUUUUGCAACAACAUCAGAUUUUACAUUCUUUUGCUGUAUACCCAAGUACUUAAUGGAAAUCCUGGUGAGGCUGACCCAAAUAACACAACAUUGUGCGCAGAGUAGAAUGGGCGAGUAGUGGGAUCAUGAGUG
Molecule: RNA transcript, 1178 nt
Organism: Fragaria vesca subsp. vesca
Lineage: Eukaryota; Viridiplantae; Streptophyta; Magnoliopsida; Rosales; Rosaceae
Exons: 6
Source: RefSeq, a predicted model, not a curated record